This 434-nucleotide ribosomal RNA is filed under the name uncultured bacterium. RNAcentral's name for it is "bacterial SSU rRNA". It matches the Rfam family "Bacterial small subunit ribosomal RNA", at positions 29 to 507 of the family's 1533-position model. The record is from RNAcentral.
AACGAACGCUGGCGGCAGGCCUAACACAUGCAAGUCGAGCGAGGACUUCGGUCCUAGCGGCGGACGGGUGAGUAACGCGUGGGAACGUGCCCCUUUGGUACGGAAUAGCCCCGGGAAACUGGGAGUAAUACCGUAUGGUGUCUUCGGACUAAAGAUUUAUCGCCAAAGGAUCGGCCCGCGUUGGAUUAGGUAGUUGGUGGGGUAAUGGCCUACCAAGCCGACGAUCCAUAGCUGGUUUGAGAGGAUGAUCAGCCACACUGGGACUGAGACACGGCCCAGACUCCUACGGGAGGCAGCAGUGGGGAAUCUUAGACAAUGGGGGCAACCCUGAUCUAGCCAUGCCGCGUGAGUGAUGAAGGCCCUAGGGUUGUAAAGCUCUUUCAGCUGGGAAGAUAAUGACGGUACCAGCAGAAGAAGCCCCGGNUAACUCCGUG